Leptinotarsa decemlineata (Colorado potato beetle) is the source of this 794-nucleotide long non-coding RNA. The record is from RefSeq and is a predicted model, not a curated record. NCBI's taxonomy places the organism in Eukaryota, Metazoa, Arthropoda, Insecta, Coleoptera, Chrysomelidae.
GAACGGAAAGUAUUUGAUGUUUUACAUUGGCUUCUCUUUGAAAUCUCUUAUAAAUUAUUGUGCAGUGGGAAUUUUGUGCGUGAAUCAUCUUCAAUAAAGUGUAAAUUAAUUAAAUUGAAACGAGAUUUGGUGUUUCCAUUUGUUGCUGUGUUCAAUUUCGAAUUGAAGUUACUUCCCAACUCAGCUGAGGGAAAACCAGUUGAACAACUGACGCAGAAUAGACAUGUUCUACACCUUACAUCAAACAACAACAAUAACGCUGAGAGCUUGGACGGAUCGGAGUUUGCAUGGACGCAAUUUCUAGCCCAAAUAUCAGAUCCAUCGUGAAAUCUCUUGUAGAAUGAUGUCGAACACCUUGUCCUGAAUAGCAACAAAUUUUUUUUCUGGAAACGUUCAAGAAAUCUAUUGUCCAAUAUUCCAGAGCAGCCAGAUCUCGUUUCAGAAAAGCUGAUGUUUUGCCAAUGAAUAACAUUAAAUGUAAUUAAGAAAGCUUCCUUGUAAACGGAGUCCUCUUACGGAUAUAAGGAAAUCUAUUCUAUUAUCAAGUAAUUACUAUUAGCAGACGACAUUGUAGAAUGUGAUCUCAGUAGACGGUUUUGAUGUGAAGGUCAAUAAUCCAUUGUAGUCAGGAAUCUAUGUUCGACUUUAUAAUCAGAAUUGUCUCACUGUCAUAUUCUAAGAACAAUGAUGUUUAUUAAUAGCACUGAGCUGAAGUUUUCAAUUCAAUGUGUUGAAGGGUUUCGCUUUCAAAUUAGCAAGUAUACAUCUAUUCUUAAUUACAUAUUAAUACAUUU